GGGGUGCUCGAGUGGCGAACGGGUGAGUAACACGUGAGUAACCUGCCCUUGACUUUGGGAUAACUUCAGGAAACUGGGGCUAAUACCGGAUAGGAGCUCCUGCUGCAUGGUGGGGGUUGGAAAGUUUCGGCGGUUGGGGAUGGACUCGCGGCCUAUCAGCUUGUUGGUGGGGUAAUGGCCUACCAAGGCGGCGACGGGUAGCCGGCCUGAGAGGGUGGACGGCCACAUUGGGACUGAGAUACGGCCCAG
RNAcentral lists this ribosomal RNA (249 nucleotides) under uncultured Actinomycetales bacterium. RNAcentral describes it as "partial 16S ribosomal RNA". It matches the Rfam family "Bacterial small subunit ribosomal RNA", at positions 84 to 334 of the family's 1533-position model. Lineage: Bacteria; Bacillati; Actinomycetota; Actinomycetes; Actinomycetales. The record is from RNAcentral.